GUCGAACGGAAGUUAGAGCUUCGGUUUUAACUUUAGUGGCGAACGGGUGAGCCACUCGUGAGGAACCUGCCUUUCAGUGGGGGACAACAGUUGGAAACGACUGCUAAUACCGCAUGACACUUUUGGGAGACAUCUCCUAAAAGUCAAAGCUUUAUGUGCUGAAAGAUGGCCUCGCGUCUGAUUAGCUAGUUGGUGAGGUAACGGCUCACCAAGGCGACGAUCAGUAGCCGGUCUGAGAGGAUGAACGGCCACAUUGGGACUGAGAUACGGCCCAGACUCCUACGGGAGGCAGCAGUGGGGAAUAUUGGGCAAUGGGGGAAACCCUGACCCAGCAACGCCGCGUGAAGGAAGAAGGCCUUCGGGUUGUAAACUUCUUUUACCAGGGACGAAGGACGUGACGGUACCUGGAGAAAAAGCAACGGCUAACUACGUGCCAGCAGCCGCGGUAAUACGUAGGUUGCAAGCGUUGUCCGGAUUUACUGGGUGUAAAGGGCGUGUAGGCGGAGAUGCAAGUUGGGAGUGAAAUCCAUGGGCUCAACCCAUGAACUGCUCUCAAAACUGUAUCCCUUGAGUAUCGGAGAGGCAAGCGGAAUUCCUAGUGUAGCGGUGAAAUGCGUAGAUAUUAGGAGGAACACCAGUGGCGAAGGCGGCUUGCUGGACGACAACUGACGCUGAGGCGCGAAAGCGUGAGGAGCAAACAGGAUUAGAUACCCUGGUAGUCCACGCUGUAAACGAUGAAUACUAG
This 745-nucleotide ribosomal RNA is filed under the name uncultured bacterium. Its description in RNAcentral is "bacterial SSU rRNA". It matches the Rfam family "Bacterial small subunit ribosomal RNA", at positions 61 to 819 of the family's 1533-position model. The record is from RNAcentral.